Molecule: ribosomal RNA, 253 nt
Filed under: uncultured bacterium
Lineage: Bacteria
Description: partial 16S ribosomal RNA
Rfam family: Bacterial small subunit ribosomal RNA
Source: RNAcentral
UACGUAGGGGGCAAGCGUUGUUCGGAUUUACUGGGCGUAAAGGGCGCGUAGGCGGCGUGGUAAGUCACUUGUGAAAUCUCUGAGCUUAACUCAGAACGGUCAAGUGAUACUGCUGUGCUAGAGUGCGGAAGGGGCAAUCGGAAUUCUUGGUGUAGCGGUGAAAUGCGUAGAUAUCAAGAGGAACACCUGAGGUGAAGACGGGUUGCUGGGCCGACACUGACGCUGAUGCGCGAAAGCCAGGGGAGCAAACGGG